UGGGGAAUAUUAGGCAAUGGGGGCAACCCUGACCUAGCAACGCCGCGUGAAGGAAGAAGGCCUUCGGGUUGUAAACUUCUUUUAUGAAGGACGAAGAAAUGACGGUACUUCAUGAAUAAGCCACGGCUAACUACGUGCCAGCAGCCGCGGUAAUACGUAGGUGGCAAGCGUUGUCCGGAUUUACUGGGUGUAAAGGGCGCGUAGGCGGGAUGGCAAGUCAGAUGUGAAAUCCAUGGGCUCAACCCGUGAACUGCAUUUGAAACUGUCGUUCUUGAGUGUCGGAGAGGCAAGCGGAAUUCCUAGUGUAGCGGUGAAAUGCGUAGAUAUUAGGAGGAACACCAGUGGCGAAGGCGGCUUGCUGGACGAUAACUGACGCUGAGGCGCGAAAGCGUGGGGAGCAAACAGG
This 406-nucleotide ribosomal RNA is filed under the name uncultured bacterium. RNAcentral's name for it is "bacterial SSU rRNA". It matches the Rfam family "Bacterial small subunit ribosomal RNA", at positions 355 to 776 of the family's 1533-position model. The record is from RNAcentral. RNAcentral also lists the same sequence under 1 other name.